This is a long non-coding RNA of Zeugodacus cucurbitae (melon fly), 584 nucleotides long. RefSeq lists it as uncharacterized. The transcript is spliced from 3 exons. Lineage: Eukaryota; Metazoa; Arthropoda; Insecta; Diptera; Tephritidae. The record is from RefSeq and is a predicted model, not a curated record.
UACGGUAAUUUUUGGGAGCUCGACGUUAUAACAAAUUCUUCAAGGAGAGCUCAGGAUGAGUCGGGAAUCAUUCCCAUUUUUAUGUAAUUAGCUAUCACACAUUGGCAAACCUAAUACUACAUACAGGGAAUGUAUUCUUCUGCUAAAUAUAGAACUUUUGGGAGACUGUUCGGGAUUUCCAAAGCGUCUGUAUGUUGUAUUCUUAAAGACUUUAGCCGAGGAGUGUGGGACCAGCUAUCAUCUAAAUAUUCAACCAGCUCAUUUCUCACGCAAGAAAAAAUAACGGAGUGCGUUGAAGGAUUUAGAAAGAUUGGAUUUCCACAAUGUCUGGGUGCAGUAGAAGAUUGCCAUAUUGAGAUUAGGCCCUCCGCAUCUGAUGCUGUUGACUAUUUCAACUACAAAGGUUGGUACUCAAUGGUUUUACAUGACCUCGUAUGCUACUGAUAUAGAUUUACACUAAUUAUUCAAUAUACAUUAAUGUUGGAGCACCUGGUCGUUGUAAUGAUUCUCAAAUAUUUGAAAAAUCCAACUUGAAAGUAUUUUGCAAAACCCUCUAUUUAAAGUGAAUGCGAAAAGAAUUGGUG